This is a long non-coding RNA of Trifolium pratense (red clover), 1398 nucleotides long. RefSeq lists it as uncharacterized. NCBI's taxonomy places the organism in Eukaryota, Viridiplantae, Streptophyta, Magnoliopsida, Fabales, Fabaceae. The transcript is spliced from 5 exons. The record is from RefSeq and is a predicted model, not a curated record.
AACGUCCCCAUAGACACUUUAGGGUACGAUUUUGAAUUGAUGCACUAUUUCUGAUAAAAGGCUACGCUUGUCAUAUGUUGUCUAAAACACAGAAUUAAAGACACAGCUUGCAAAUUACGCAAUUAUCCUUACAUUAUUUUGAAAACACGAAUUUGCCCUCCUCUAGGUUUCUUUCCUUACACCAUCUCCUACAUCUUCUCACUCUGAUUUCACGAGUCACGACGACGACCCUCAUCUUACGCCUUUUCUCUUCAAACAACAGAAAAAUCUGAAAUCAACAAUUUCAUCUACUUCGAUUGUGACUCACGUUGCUUAGUUUCACUGCUUAUAUAGUGAUUCACGAUCCACAAUUUCAUCUCGCUUCAACUCGUGAGUCAGAGUCACGAUCCACAAUGUCGUCUUCUUCGUGAGUCACGAUUCUCAGUUUCCCCUAAGAACAUGUUUCCUCCUCUUUCUGCAUGCUUCGAGUCUUUUAAUCGUCGAACCCUAAUCCCAAAUCUCGAAUCUGGCAUUAAACUUACAAUCGAAACAAAACGUGACCUAGAUGAACCCUAAUUUGGUUUUUCAGCUUCCAAUCGAAGCUAAUAGGAUAAAAAAAGUGUUACAAAAAGGAUGAAGAAUGUUGCAGCAAAAGGAAUUGCUUGAUUAAUGAAGCUGCAGAGAUUUAUAAAUUGAAGUAUAAAUUUAAGGAGGAGGCAAAGAAGAUUGAAUAUUGAAGCAGCAAUGAUAACCAAGACAAAUGAGGUUCCAGGGUGAAAAUGGUCUUCAGUGGCACAACCUGAAUCACCGUUGAGAUUGAGAGAGAGUUGCAUAAACUUUAGUAGAGCCAGAGGAAUAGCUAAGAGUUGCUUCACUAUAUGAUGAGGAGAGGGGUCAACAUAAACGUUGGUAGAACUGGAAGAAUAUACAAAAGCUGAUACUACUUAAUGAAAGAGGGAGGAUCAACCCCUUUGCGGCACUUUCAUUUUAGAAGAACUGCAGGUUUUGCAUUGGAGACAUACGAUGAAAAGGAAUUACGAUCAAAGAGAGGUUGGAAUUGAUAAUGAUCAUUUAAAGAAAGUAACAUAAGGCAUGUUGUAGGUGAUUCUUCAUAUGAUUAAGUAGCCAAGAUUGUGGGGGUAUUGAAAGGAAAUUUACUAUUUUACAGUUUGCUCAAUUUUAGUUGUAUUUAUAGUUUUGAGAAAAUAUUGUUUUAGUUUGUAUUAAAAAGUCAUGGGAGCAUUAACCAUGACUUUAGGUGUUUUAUAGUUUUUUAUUUGAAUAAGUCUUCAGGUGUUUUAUAGUAGCAGUACAUGUUUGCUACUUUUUAGUACUCAUACCAUAGAGUGGAGGUACUCCUUGCAUAUGUAAUAUACUAUACAAAUAUUUGAAUAAAGGAGUUCAUGUAUUUUUGCCUCA